CUUUCCCAGACAAAAUGGCUACCUGUGUAGACAACUUGUCAAAAAUGACCAUCAAUACCAGUAAACAAGUUAAAUAUGCAACUGGAUCAAAAUUAUGAAAGAGAUAUCAGAAAUGAUGACCAUCUCCAGAGGGUAAGGAAAGUUGCUGUUGUUGUAAACGAAGACAAAACUCAACAGAAACCCGCUGCUCAUCUGCAGAUGGACCCUGAUGCGCAGUAUGACAAAGGUGAGAU
Molecule: long non-coding RNA, 233 nt
Organism: Gigantopelta aegis
Lineage: Eukaryota; Metazoa; Mollusca; Gastropoda; Neomphalida; Peltospiridae
Exons: 3
Source: RefSeq, a predicted model, not a curated record